CCUACGGGGCGCAGCAGUGGGGAAUAUUGCACAAUGGGGGAAACCCUGAUGCAGCGACGCCGCGUGCGCGAAGAAGUAUUUCGGUAUGUAAAGCUCUAUCAGCAGGGGAGAAAAUGACGGUACCUGAGUCAGAAGCUCCGGCUAAAUACGUGCCAGCAGCCGCGGUACUACGUAGGGAGCAAGCGUUAUCCGGAUUUACUGGGCGUAAAGGGAGCGUAGGCGGCCUGCCAAGUCUGAGGUGAAAUACCGGGGCUCAACCCCGGGGCUGCCUGGGAAACUGGCGGGCGGGAGAGACGGCGAGGCAGGCGGAAUGACUGGUGUAGCGGUGAAAUGCGUAGAGAUUAGACGGAACACCGAUGGCGAAGGCAGCCUGCUGGACGGUGACUGACGCUGAGGCUCGAAAGCGUGGGGAGCAAACAGGAUUAGAUACCCCAGUAGUC
RNAcentral lists this ribosomal RNA (440 nucleotides) under uncultured bacterium. RNAcentral's name for it is "partial 16S ribosomal RNA". It matches the Rfam family "Bacterial small subunit ribosomal RNA", at positions 338 to 795 of the family's 1533-position model. The record is from RNAcentral.